CAGUCGAACGGACUCAUAUUGAAACCUAGUGAUUUAUGAGUUAGUGGCGGACGGGUGAGUAACGCGUGGAUAACCUACCGUAUACCGGGGGAUAACACUUAGAAAUAGGUGCUAAUACCGCAUAAGCGCACGGCUCCGCAUGGGGCAGUGUGAAAAACUCCGGUGGUAUACGAUGGAUCCGCGUCUGAUUAGCUAGUUGGCGGGGUGACGGCCCACCAAGGCAGCGAUCAGUAGCCGGCCUGAGAGGGUGGACGGCCACAUUGGGACUGAGACACGGCCCAAACUCCUACGGGAGGCAGCAGUGGGGAAUAUUGCACAAUGGGGGAAACCCUGAUGCAGCGACGCCGCGUGAGUGAAGAAGUAUCUCGGUACGUAAAGCUCUAUCAGCAGGGAAGAAAAUGACGGUACCUGACCAAGAAGCCCCGGCUAACUACGUGCCAGCAGCCGCGGUAAUACGUAGGGGGCAAGCGUUAUCCGGAUUUACUGGGUGUAAAGGGAGCGUAGACGGCAGCACAAGUCUGGAGUGAAAUCCCGGGGCUUAACCCCGGAACUGCUUUGGAAACUGUGCGGCUGGAGUGCAGGAGGGGUAAGCGGGAUUCCUAGUGUAGCGGUGAAAUGCGUAGAUAUUAGGAGGAACACCGGUGGCGAAGGCGGCUUACUGGACUGUAACUGACGUUGAGGCUCGAAAGCGUGGGGAGCAAACAGGAUUAGAUACCCUGGUAGUCCACGCCGUAAACGAUGAUUACUAGGUGUCGGGGGACCAAGGUCCUCCGGUGCCGGCGCAAACGCAUUAAGUAAUCCACCUGGGGAGUACGUUCGCAAGAAUGAAACUCAAAGGAAUUGACGGGGACC
This 852-nucleotide ribosomal RNA is filed under the name uncultured bacterium. RNAcentral's name for it is "bacterial SSU rRNA". It matches the Rfam family "Bacterial small subunit ribosomal RNA", at positions 59 to 921 of the family's 1533-position model. The record is from RNAcentral.